UUGACCCGCUGAAUUAGUGAUCGGCAGGUCUGGUUUAAUGCCCAAGAGCAAUCAGGAGAAUAGUAUGUCACUAACUAAAGAAGAAACCGCAAACCUUAUCGCCGAAUACGGUGUAAAAGAA
Regulatory RNA element from Lacimicrobium alkaliphilum, 121 nucleotides. It matches the Rfam family "Ribosomal S15 leader". From Rfam's summary of the family: The E. coli Ribosomal S15 gene 5' UTR can form two alternative structures. The record is from Rfam. NCBI's taxonomy places the organism in Bacteria, Pseudomonadati, Pseudomonadota, Gammaproteobacteria, Alteromonadales, Alteromonadaceae.